This is a long non-coding RNA of Gadus morhua (Atlantic cod), 1578 nucleotides long. NCBI's taxonomy places the organism in Eukaryota, Metazoa, Chordata, Actinopteri, Gadiformes, Gadidae. The record is from Ensembl.
AAAUCCUUGAUGUUGAGAGUCAAAGAAAAGGACUUUCCCUCAUAUCAAGUCACCACACGCUCUCACAGCCAAAAGGUGAGCCCAAAACUUAAGGUUUUCAGCACCAAACCCAGUGGACAGUUACUCACAGUGGAAGAUCUCUCACAGGCAGAAAGAUCAGUUAUCUCUUAUGUUCAGAGGCAAGCAUUCCCAGCCGAAAUUAGAACACUGCAAAUGACCCCACCUCAAGUGAAAAGGAGCAGCAAGAUCUGUAGGCUCGAUCCUGUGCUAGAUGAAGGCAUCUUAAGAGUAGGUGGCCGGCUGCAUAAAUCUGCUAUGCCUGUUGAAACAAAACACCCCUGCAUCUUACCUAAAGACUCACACAUUUCAAUUCUUCUUUUAAGACACAUUCAUGAAUGCUGCGGUCACAGUGGUAGGAACCACAUGCUUUCAGAGCUCCGCAAGAAAUAUUGGAUUAGUAAGGCAAACUCAGUAGCAAGAAAGGUGCUUUCCAGAUGCGUUGUGUGUCGACGUGCAAGGGGCAAAGUUGGUGAGCAGAAGAUGGCAGAUUUGCCAGCAGAACGAAUCCUACCUGACCUACCUCCCUUUACCAAUGUCGGAUUGGACUACUUUGGCCCGAUUGAGGUAAGGCGAGGGAGAAGCACCAUCAAGAGGUAUGGAGUUCUUUUUACAUGUAUGUCUAGUAGAGCUAUACAUUUGGAAGUGGCUUUCUCAUUAGACACAGACUCAUGCAUUCAUGCUCUGAGAAGAUUUGUUUGCAGAAGGGGUCAAGUUAAACACAUCAGAUCUGACAACGGAACAAACCUGGUGGGUGCUCAGGUGGAGCUCAAGAAGGCUCUGAUGACGCUGAACGAGACGAAGAUCCAAGAUGCCCUGCUUCCUGAUGGAAUCCAGUGGAGUUUCAACCCCCCAGCUGCAUCGCACCAUGGUGGAGUCUGGGAAAGGCUUAUAAGAUCUGUUCGUCACGUGCUGAACUCUACGCUCCAUCAACAGUCCAUCGAUGAUGAAGGCCUUCAAACUCUGUUCUGUGAGGUAGAGGCUAUCUUAAACAACCGUCCUCUCUCCACAGUGUCCUCAGACCCAUACGACCUAGAGCCACUGACACCAAACCACAUCCUCCUGUUGAAAACCCAGCCCAUUCUGCCCCCUGGAACCUUCCUGAAAUCCGACCUUUACGCCAGACGCCGCUGGAAACAGGUCCAGUACAUGGCGGACCUCUUCUGGCAUAGAUGGUCCAAAGAAUAUCUUCUUCUGCUUCAAGAGAGGCAAAAAUGGACUGCGGUAAAGAAGAACCUGAACGUUGGAGACCUUGUCCUGGUGGUUGACCCCAAUGCUCCUAGAGGAUCGUGGCCGUUGGGACGAGUGCUAGAGACCAAGCCUGAUGGAAAGGGGCUGGUCCGGUCCGUGAAGCUCAAGACACAGACUUCAGUCCUUGAUAGGCCCAUUACCAAGCUGUGCCGAAUUCUGGAGUCUGAAGAGUGUCCAGUGCCUCCUAAAGACCACCAUUAGGGGACGUAAUGUAUAUAUAUAUACAUAUUUUUCUGUAAUAUGAGAUAUUGAUUUUUGGCUCCUUUUUUG